This 2641-nucleotide long non-coding RNA is filed under the name Macaca mulatta (Rhesus monkey). RNAcentral describes it as "lncRNA (ENSMMUG00000060030.1)". Lineage: Eukaryota; Metazoa; Chordata; Mammalia; Primates; Cercopithecidae. The record is from RNAcentral.
AUUUGGUGUUCUGUAAGCUCCAAAAUCCUCAGCUAUUUGUUUUUUUGUUCGUUUUAUAAAAUCAUCCAGAGUUUUUAGUUGUAAUUGAUGGGAAAGAUAGACUCUAGUGGGGUUACUCCAUUUUGGCCGGCACUGUACCAUAGGUGAGUCUAUCAAACAUAAUUGUCACGAUUGUUGGAUAGGAGGAUGCAAAGACUGAUCAAGAGGUGAGUAGCUAUUACCAUAGGAAGCCACCUGUUAUUUGACUUCUGUCUCUUCAUUUAUUAGAGAUAAUACCACCUUGCUGUGACUUUUUCUAAGGUGUAUUUUAAGUUGCAGCUUAAUAUAUGUGAUAUGAACCCAUUUAUGUAUCACAACAAAAGUUGUAUGUGUAAGGUUCCACAGAGAUUACACAUAGAACUAGCUACUAGUUAAAAUUGUGGAAGAUGGGAAUGAAGGCAUACCUUUUUAAAAUACUAUACGUGUUUGUACUGUCGGAACAUUAGAAAUGUCCAAACCAGCCUACCAAAGUAAAGAAGAAUCCUCCUUAUCCUAAAACUUACAGUGUCAGCUUUCACAGAUUUCAGAUGAUUGAUGUCUGAUUUCUAGCUGCAGUAGAAACGUUUGGUGGGUGUCUGCUCAGCUCAUCACAACUUUCUCUCUUUCUUUAAGAAUCCGCCUUCCAAUACACACUUCCCAGAAGGCCAGGCCCUUGGCAGCCAUGUAGAUAGUAAAGACCCAGUCUUCCUGGCCAACUGAAGGAUUCUGUCUCCUGAAGAUUUAUAAUGGGAACUGAAGGGGCUAGCUUAUUCUGGACUGUACACUUGAUCUGAUGUUGUUCUGCUUAAGGAGCUGUAGGACAGCCACCUUCUACCACACAUGUCAUGACUCUCCACUGACUCCUCCAGAAUGUGACACUCCAUUUUCACCAAACUGCAGACACUCUCUGCGUAGGAUCACCAUGCCGAGCAUAAACUGGACUUUCCCACUUGCCUGGCAGGAGUCAGACAGAUCCCUGUGUGCUAAAUGAACAUCUGAGGAUAAUCUGAAGAGAAGAGCAGUUCUGAAGGAUGUGGAGUUGAAGGGUGGAGAAGAUUCAGCAUGGACUACUUUUGAUUUGGAAGGUCACUGGGAACCCAACUUUCUUUUAGGGCUGUCUGAUGAUCCCAAGUUCAGGACUGGACACAGGUUAUACACAAUAUACAUAUGCUAGACUGUGGAUGAAGGCUAGACUAGACCCUUGGUGCUGUUCAAACCUCCUCGUUAUAGUCUGGUCUAGUUCCAGGGAGGGGCUGGAAACUGUCCCUAUUUCUACAGGAGAAGGUUCGGUCUUCUUAUUGGAAUAGUCUUCUAUGCCAGUUAUUGUUUGUACAGGUUGUAUUGGCAGCUGGUGGGUUUCUGAGUUAAAUAUUAUGUACUACUUGUAAGACUGUUCAGAGUUUUAUGUCCCCAAUUACAGAUAUAGAACUUUAAGUACUCAAGUUUACCAGACUUGCAUAUAUAUAUAAGCACCUAAGGAUAAAGGUGAAUGGGUUCUAAUGGAUAAGUAGUUAAUUCGGAUCUAAAACUGAGAAACACUCAUUUCAGAAAACCUUUUAGGACUCAAAUUUCAGCUGUGUUAAUAAAAGAAUUUUGAACUUCAAUCAGAAAGUUAAUAGGCUUUAAUGACCUUUAUUUCUCCUUUACUAGGCUUCUUGUUUAUUGGAUUUGGAAAUUUUCUAACUUUUAAGGACUAAGCCAAGAUUUUGCCUUCCUCAGGGAGCAUUUCAUGCUACAACCUCAUAGUCCUUUUUUCCCUCCUCUAUCCAUCCUUUAUCUUUAAUCCUGGCCUUUCCGCAUCAUGCAGCAUUAUAAUUAUAUGUUUAUGUAUGUUCUAUCAGACUGUGAGCUCCAGUGGAGCAAGCCCUGUCUUGCUCCACUCUGUUUUCUGGGCACCUAGCAGAAUGUCUGCAUAAGAAAGAAAAGAAAAGAAAAAAAAAAAAAAGAUGGUAGAUUUAAUGAAUGCAGCAAGUAUUGCUGUCUUUGUUUACGUAUUAGAUUCAGUGACUUCCAUCUAUACCUCAAUUUCUAGAGAUAUGACAGGCACUUGGGAUUCUUCAUGUUUUCUUUUUUAAAACCAUUCACAAAUAGCAUCAAAAAAGUAGCCCUAGUAAAAGCAUGUAUUUGCUUAAAUCCUAUGUUCAUGUAAAACACACAUACACACACACACAUCAACACACACACACAAACUAUUUUAAAAAGUAUGGAAGAAACUAGUUCAGCAUGGUGGUCAUUUUGAUGGGAGAGAGAAGUAUUACCAAUGACUGGACCUUGGAGCCCCACUAUAUUGGUAUUGUUUUGUUUUGAUCUGAUGAUACAUAAACAUAUGCUCAUUGUGUUCUUUAUUCAUUUUUGCACAUCCUAUUUUAUGCAUAUGAAUAGAAGCUAGUGUAAUCUUGAACAGAAUCUUCCCAUCAUAGGACAUCUUGUAUUAAAUGUUUUAAAUGAGAAUUAGCAGAUUUCGGGAACUAUAGAGGCUUUUUGAUUUGUUUUACCUAUAGGAAUUGCAUUUUGGACUUAGAUUUUAAUAUUACGUUAAAAUAAAUAGUCUAAUCAACAUUUUCCCUAAAUAUUUUAUAAAUACACAAAAUUUAUCAAAGUGUACUUGUAUGUAGAUCUUUUG